This is a small nucleolar RNA of Ziziphus jujuba (common jujube), 123 nucleotides long. NCBI's taxonomy places the organism in Eukaryota, Viridiplantae, Streptophyta, Magnoliopsida, Rosales, Rhamnaceae. The record is from RefSeq and is a predicted model, not a curated record.
AUCCCAGAUUGAAGUUUUAUGUGUUUAUCUGAUUCAUGGGAGGCACAUAUGGAUGAUGGUAGUUCGCUGAUAGCACCUUUUGACUUUAGAAAAGGAUUGCUAAUAGUACCUUACCAAACAUAC